AACCAUUCACAAUGCACGAAAGUGUGAUGAUGCGACGCCGCGUGGAGGAUGAAGGCUUUAGGGUCGUAAACUCCUGUCAGGAGGGAAAAACCUCCUAGGUAUUAAUACUACUUAGGAUUGAUGGUACCUCCAGAGGAAGCCACGGCUAACUCUGUGCCAGCAGCCGCGGUAAUACAGAGGUGGCAAGCGUUGUUCGGAUUUACUGGGCGUAAAGGGUGCGUAGGCGGCAUUGUGUGUCGGAUGUGAAAUCUCACGGCUUAACCGUGAAAUUGCAUCCGAAACUACAAAGCUAGAGUAUUGGAGAGGUAAGUGGAAUUCUUGGUGUAGCGGUGAAAUGCGUAGAUAUCAAGAGGAACCCCGGUGGCGAAAGCGACUUACUGGACAAAUACUGACGCUGAGGCACGAAAGCUAGGGGAGCAAAAAGGAUUAGAUACCCUUGUAGUCCUAGCCGUA
RNAcentral lists this ribosomal RNA (453 nucleotides) under uncultured marine bacterium. Its description in RNAcentral is "bacterial SSU rRNA". It matches the Rfam family "Bacterial small subunit ribosomal RNA", at positions 359 to 804 of the family's 1533-position model. The record is from RNAcentral.